UACGUAGGGUGCAAGCGUUAAUCGGAAUUACUGGGCGUAAAGCGCGUGUAGGCGGCCCGGAAAGUCGGAUGUGAAAGCCCUGGGCUUAACCUAGGAAGUGCAUUCGAAACUGCUGGGCUUGAGUUCUGGAGAGGAAGGCGGAAUUCUCAGUGUAGAGGUGAAAUUCGUAGAUAUCGAGAGGAACACCGGUGGCGAAGGCGGCCUUCUGGACAGUGACUGACGCUGAGACGCGAAAGCGUGGGGAGCAAACAGG
Molecule: ribosomal RNA, 253 nt
Filed under: uncultured bacterium
Lineage: Bacteria
Description: partial 16S ribosomal RNA
Rfam family: Bacterial small subunit ribosomal RNA
Source: RNAcentral